UGGGGAAUCUUGCACAAUGGAGGAAACUCUGAUGCAGCGACGCCGCGUGAGCGAAGAAGCCUUUCGGGGUGUAAAGCUCUUACGCCAGGGACGAUAAUGACGGUACCUGGAGAAGCAGCUGCGGCUAACUACGUGCCAGCAGCCGCGGUAAUACGUAGGCAGCAAGCGUUGUUCGGAAUUACUGGGCGUAAAGGGUGCGUAGGCGGCGCUCUAAGUUUGGUGUGAAAUCUCCCGGCUUAACUGGGAGGGUGCACUGAAAACUGGGGCGCUCGAGUAUGGGAGAGGAAAGCGGAAUUCCUGGUGUAGCGGUGAAAUGCGUAGAGAUCAGGAGGAACACCUGCGGUGCAGACGGCUUUCUGGACCAUCACUGACGCUGAGGCACGAAAGCGUGGGUAGCAAACA
This 402-nucleotide ribosomal RNA is filed under the name uncultured bacterium. Its description in RNAcentral is "bacterial SSU rRNA". It matches the Rfam family "Bacterial small subunit ribosomal RNA", at positions 355 to 774 of the family's 1533-position model. The record is from RNAcentral.